AAGAAGACAAACCCUAGGUUUCCGUGUCCAACGUUUGAUCGUCCGUCUUAUUUGAAAAAAUUAUAGAAAAAAUUAAAAAGACAAGUCACACAUAAAAUAUUAAUCAUGUUUUAUCAUCUAAUAACAAUGAAAAUACUAAUUAUAAAAUAAUUUUAUAUAAGACGAACAGUCAAACGUUGAACACGGAAACCCAUGAUUUAUCUUUUU
This 207-nucleotide microRNA precursor is filed under the name Oryza meridionalis. RNAcentral describes it as "MIR812 microRNA precursor family". It matches the Rfam family "MIR812 microRNA precursor family". The record is from Rfam by way of RNAcentral. Lineage: Eukaryota; Viridiplantae; Streptophyta; Magnoliopsida; Poales; Poaceae.